Molecule: long non-coding RNA, 200 nt
Filed under: Elaeis guineensis (African oil palm)
Lineage: Eukaryota; Viridiplantae; Streptophyta; Magnoliopsida; Arecales; Arecaceae
Description: long non-coding RNA (EGUI_LNC007289)
Source: RNAcentral
UCGUGUAUUCUACUCUACAAAUGACUUUACAUAUAUUGCACAAUUAGAAGCAUCUAUGUCCAGCCAAGAGAAUAGGCAGUCAUAGGGCAUCAUGGAAUAGAUUGACUAUUCUUGUUCAUCAUUUUUUUAGUUGAAUCUUUUGUAUUUUCUUAUUCUUCUUUCUCACUUGUACAUAAUUCCUUUCACUGAUAAAUAUGGGG